GUCCACGCCCUAAACGAUGUCGACUGGUUGUUGGGGGUUUGACACUCUCAGUAACGAAGCUAACGCGUGAAGUCGACCGCCUGGGGAGUACGGCCGCAAAGGUUAAAACUCAAAGGAAUUGACGGGGACCCGCACAAGCGGUGGAUUAUGUGGAUUAAUUCGAUGCAACGCGAAAAAACCUUACCUACCCUUGACAUGUCCGAGAGCCCGAAGAGAUUUGGGUGUGCCCGAAAGGGAAUCGGAACACAGGUGCUGCAUGGCUGUCGU
RNAcentral lists this ribosomal RNA (267 nucleotides) under uncultured bacterium. RNAcentral describes it as "partial 16S ribosomal RNA". It matches the Rfam family "Bacterial small subunit ribosomal RNA", at positions 793 to 1055 of the family's 1533-position model. The record is from RNAcentral.